Molecule: ribosomal RNA, 404 nt
Filed under: Actinomycetes bacterium
Lineage: Bacteria; Bacillati; Actinomycetota; Actinomycetes
Description: Actinobacteria bacterium partial 16S ribosomal RNA
Rfam family: Bacterial small subunit ribosomal RNA
Source: RNAcentral
UGGGGAAUAUUGGACAAUGGGCGCAAGCCUGAUCCAGCCAUGCCGCGUGAGUGAUGAAGGCCCUAGGGUUGUAAAGCUCUUUCACCGGUGAAGAUAAUGACGGUAACCGGAGAAGAAGCCCCGGCUAACUUCGUGCCAGCAGCCGCGGUAAUACGAAGGGGGCUAGCGUUGUUCGGAUUUACUGGGCGUAAAGCGCACGUAGGCGGACUUUUAAGUCAGGGGUGAAAUCCCGGGGCUCAACCCCGGAACUGCCUUUGAUACUGGAAGUCUUGAGUAUGGGAGAGGUGAGUGGAAUUCCGAGUGUAGAGGUGAAAUUCGUAGAUAUUCGGAGGAACACCAGUGGCGAAGGCGGCUCACUGGACCAUUACUGACGCUGAGGUGCGAAAGCGUGGGGGGCAAACAGG